CAUGAACCCAUACAUGCUGCGUAAAAGCAAUUAAAUUAUCCCGAGCGAGAGUCCAGCUCGAACCCUGAAGUGUGAGGUAGGGACGAGAGGGCGACCUCCACCCCCAACCUGCAUACAAAUUGAGUUUGGACUUGUCAACUCUGACUCUCUCUCCUCAACCCUUCGCAGAAUGCCUAUUUUUUAAUCGGUUGGAGAAACUUUGUCGUUCUCAGGAACUCACUGACCGGGAAAAUAUUUCACAACGUUGUGUUCAGCGCCAAUUCACGGAGGAUUGGGCUAGAAGCCAAUCUGAACAAUCUGAUGUUUCAUCGCCUCAACUUGAUGUGGAAUCAGAAGCCAGUCAUCAAUUUUAGUUCCCAUAGCCUCUACAGACCUCAUGUCAUCCACUUCCUCUACAAUCAAUGAAAAAAUCUCUUGCUCCCCACUAAGACUGCCUAGUGAUUUGGAUUCAAUACAAAUGGGAACGGGACUUGGGAUUGUUCUCAACGAACAAAACCAAAGGCAAGCAAAUUGGAUACCUGUCCCUUGGGAAACUUCGAUAGGUGGUCCACUUGGGGAGGUUUUGCACAAUACCAAUAACAGUGCUUCGGAGCGCAAGAAUUCAUCAGUGCUGAAUCUUUUAGCACAGGGAUGGAACAGGAGUCCUCAGUAAGGUUCAUCUCCAACUGGGGUUUUACAAAAGACAACAUUUUGUUCCCUUUCAAAUAGCAGCGCAGGAAGCAGCCGAAGAGCAGAGAUCAACAGGUCAAAUGAAGGGGCUAGCCUAUACAACAACCUGCUUGGCUCAAUUUUAGUGCAUUCUUCCUCAUUGCCUGCCUGUGAUGGCAGGCUAAUUAAAAAGACCCUAGCCAGGAAAAAGGUUCCUUAGACUGGCGAUGAGGAAUCUUAGCAUGGACUUCAGAAUUUUUUUUCCUUCUUCUUUAUUUGCAUGUAUCUGUAAGAACAAGUCCUUCACCUGCAGCAUUUUCGUUGGAAAGCAUGCUGCGGGUUAACUUUGAUGGUGAGGUGAAUUCUGAUUGUGCUGUAGCUGCCAAAACUAUUUGAUUUGCUGGAAGCUAAGAAAGGAAAAUUGGUUUUGUACUCUGCUA
Long non-coding RNA from Hevea brasiliensis (rubber tree), 1088 nucleotides. RefSeq lists it as uncharacterized. The record is from RefSeq and is a predicted model, not a curated record. Lineage: Eukaryota; Viridiplantae; Streptophyta; Magnoliopsida; Malpighiales; Euphorbiaceae. The transcript has 2 exons.